CUCCUACGGGGGGCAGCAGUGGGGAAUAUUGCACAAUGGGGGAAACCCUGAUGCAGCAACGCCGCGUGAGUGAAGAAGUAUUUCGGUAUGUAAAGCUCUAUCAGCAGGGAAGAAGAUGACGGUACCUGAGUAAGAAGCCCCGGCUAACUACGUGCCAGCAGCCGCGGUAAUACGUAGGGGGCAAGCGUUAUCCGGAUUUACUGGGUGUAAAGGGAGCGCAGACGGUGAGACAAGUCUGAAGUGAAAGCCCGGGG
Molecule: ribosomal RNA, 254 nt
Filed under: uncultured bacterium
Lineage: Bacteria
Description: partial 16S ribosomal RNA
Rfam family: Bacterial small subunit ribosomal RNA
Source: RNAcentral